AACGAACGCUGGCGGCGCGUCUUAAGCAUGCAAGUCGAGCGUGAUUGUGGUGCUUGCACCACAUGAAGGCGGCGGACUGGUGAGUAACGCGUGGGUGACGUACCCUGAGGAUGGGGAUAGCUCCUAGAAAUAGGAGGUAAUACCGAAUACGGUGUGACUUGUUAGAGGAGUUACAUCAAAGGUUCUUUUGAACCGCCACAGGAGCGGCCCGCGUACUAUUAGCUAGUUGGUGAGGUAACGGCCCACCAAGGCGACGAUAGUUACCCGGCCUGAGAGGGUGAACGGGCACAUUGGGACUGAGAUACGGCCCAGACUCCUACGGGAGGCAGCAGCUAAGAAUAUUCCGCAAUGGAGGAAACUCUGACGGAGCGACGCCGCGUGGACGAUGAAGGCCGGAAGGUUGUAAAGUCCUUUUAGAUAUGAGGAAUAAAGAGGAUGAGAGAAACGUCCUCUGGUGACUGUAGUAUCAGAAUAAGGGGCGGCUAAUUACGUGCCAGCAGCCGCGGUAACACGUAAGCCCCGAGCGUUGUUCGGAAUUAUUGGGCGUAUAGGGCAUGUAGCCGGCUUUGCAAAUCUGGUGUGAAAUGAGGGGGCUUAACCCCCGGACUGCGCUGGAAACUGCAUGGCUUGAAUCACUGAGGAGCAUCCGGGAAUUCCUGGUGUAGGGGUGUAAUCCGUAAGAUAUCAGGAAAAACACCCAAGGCGAAAGGCAAGCUGGCCAAGCCGAUGACUGACCCUGAGGUGCGAAAGUGCGGGAAGCAAACAGGAUUAGAUACCCUGGAAGUCCACACAGUCAACGAAUGUACACUGGGUGUCCGUUCAUGAGAAUGGGUGCCGAAGCAAACGCGAUAAGUGUACCGCCUGGGGAGUAUGCCCGCAAGGGUGAAACUCAAAGGAAUUGACGGGGGCCCGCACAAGCGGUGGAGCAUGUGGUUUAAUUCGAUGGUACGCGAGGAACCUUACCUGGGUUUGACAUACACAGGAAUUGUAUGGAGACAUAUAAGCGCAGCAAUGCGCCUGUGAACAGGUGCUGCAUGGCUGUCGUCAGCUCGUGCCGUGAGGUGUUGGGUUAAGUCCCGCAACGAGCGCAACCCCUACUGCCAGUUACUAACAGGUUAAGCUGAGGACUCUGGCGGAACUGCCGGUGACAAACCGGAGGAAGGUGGGGAUGACGUCAAGUCAUCAUGGCCCUUAUGUCCAGGGCUACACACGUGCUACAAUGGUUGCUACAGAGUGAAGCGAAACAGCGAUGUGGAGCAAAACGCAGAAAAGCAAUCGUAGUUCGAAUAGGAGUCUGAAACCCGACUCCUUGAAGUUGGAAUCGCUAGUAAUCGCAUAUCAGCACGAUGCGGUGAAUACGUUCCCGGGCCUUGUACACACCGCCCGUCACACCAUCCGAGUGGGGGGUACCCGAAGCCACGAGUCUAACCGUAAGGAGGACCGUGUCUAAGGUACGCUUCGUGAGGGGGGUG
RNAcentral lists this ribosomal RNA (1472 nucleotides) under uncultured rumen bacterium. RNAcentral describes it as "bacterial SSU rRNA". It matches the Rfam family "Bacterial small subunit ribosomal RNA". The record is from RNAcentral.